This 72-nucleotide transfer RNA is filed under the name Bacillota bacterium. RNAcentral describes it as "tRNA-Arg". It matches the Rfam family "tRNA". Rfam says of the family: Transfer RNA (tRNA) molecules are approximately 80 nucleotides in length. Their secondary structure includes four short double-helical elements and three loops (D, anti-codon, and T loops). The record is from RNAcentral. Lineage: Bacteria; Bacillati; Bacillota. RNAcentral also lists the same sequence under 1 other name.
GCCCCCGUAGCACAAUGGAUAGUGCAGCCGCCUCCUAAGCGGCCGAUCUUGGUUCGAUUCCGAGCGGGGGUG